GAUGAACGCUGGCGGCGUGCCUAAUACAUGCAAGUCGAGCGAACAGACGAGGAGCUUGCUCCUCUGACGUUAGCGGCGGACGGGUGAGUAACACGUGGAUAACCUACCUAUAAGACUGGGAUAACUUCGGGAAACCGGAGCUAAUACCGGAUAAUAUAUUGAACCGCAUGGUUCAAUAGUGAAAGACGGUUUUGCUGUCACUUAUAGAUGGAUCCGCGCCGCAUUAGCUAGUUGGUAAGGUAACGGCUUACCAAGGCAACGAUGCGUAGCCGACCUGAGAGGGUGAUCGGCCACACUGGAACUGAGACGCGGUCCAGACUCCUACGGGAGGCAGCAGUAGGGAAUCUUGCGCAAUGGGCGAAAGCCUGACGGAGCAACGCCGCGUGAGUGAUGAAGGUCUUCGGAUCGUAAAACUCUGUUAUUAGGGAAGAACAAAUGUGUAAGUAACUAUGCACGUCUUGACGGUACCUAAUCAGAAAGCCACGGCUAACUACGUG
This 497-nucleotide ribosomal RNA is filed under the name uncultured bacterium. RNAcentral's name for it is "partial 16S ribosomal RNA". It matches the Rfam family "Bacterial small subunit ribosomal RNA", at positions 28 to 507 of the family's 1533-position model. The record is from RNAcentral.